Long non-coding RNA from Carassius auratus (goldfish), 1297 nucleotides. RefSeq lists it as uncharacterized. Lineage: Eukaryota; Metazoa; Chordata; Actinopteri; Cypriniformes; Cyprinidae. The record is from RefSeq and is a predicted model, not a curated record. The transcript is spliced from 3 exons.
GGCUCAGAGUUACUGCAGACAGUCUUACACAGAGCUGGUCAGCGUGAGGAACCAGGAGGAGAACAGUCAGAUCCAGCAGCUGAUUCCUGCAGGAGAAGUCCCAUACAUGGGGCUUUUCAAAGACGCUUUUGUCUGGUCCGAUAACAGCACGUCUUCUUUCAGGAACUGGGAUUACUAUCAGCCGAAUGGAUCGGGAGACUGUGUGGUGCAUUUAAGACACAGCAGACUGUGGGAUGAUCAGGCUUGCAGUAAAACGAAUCCCUUCUUCUGCUACGACAGAACAGUAGUCAGACAGAUAUUGAGACUGAAAGUGGAAUCGGAUCAGAAUGUGAAUGAUUCUGAUAUAACGGCCACAAUCCUUCAGGAGAUUAAGCAGAAAAUGAUAUACCAGGGUUUGUCAGUGCAUGCUUAUCUGCAAUGGAAGCAUCAAGAAAAUGGAGACGUCUUCCAAAGAGAAGAGAAGACGAGAAAGACAUGAGACAUCACAGAUCAUCUUCUUCUCAACCAUCAAUACAGGGCAGGAUUUUCUGAAAGAGACGAUAAUUGAUUGAAUCAAUGUGGAAAAAACUAAAAAUGUCUCUUGACUUUUGCAAUCAGUUUUUGGAUCUUGAUCCACCAGAUGAGAAAAGCUGUUCUGUAGUUUCCUUAAAGCUAAAUUUAAUCACUAUAUUUAAAGUCAGCUGUAAAAAAUGAUUGUAACGUUAAUGUUAAAACAAUGUGAAAUGUCUUAAUGUCCCUUACUGAACAAAAACCACGUUUAAGCUUUAUGGAGUCCAAAUCUAAGCAUCCCCUCCAUGUCUCUGUGGUUCUGAUCCUAAACCUAGUGUGCUACCUGUUUAUUUCAAUAGUGUGCUCCUGAUGGAAAAUCUGUUCUCAAAACUGGGUGACAAAGAUGAUUUUUAGAUGUAGAUUUAGGGUGAGAUGAGGGACAUGGAUUUUCCCCCAUGGGUUUAAGGUUUGAAAUGUUGCAUGAAUUACAUUUGACUGAAAUGCUUUCAUUGAAACAUUUAGCAUUCUGCAAAUAUAUAAUAAAACAGCACUAGAUGUAAGUUUUAGCAUAUUUGUUACCUGAGGGAGAUCUGUGGGAUGGUUUCUCAGGAGUGGCUCUGACUCAACAUGGAAGAUCUUGUUGAUUCGCUAACGUUUUUUCCCCUUUGCAUUUCUUAUAUCAUGUAGUUAAACCGUUUUGUUGUCAUAUUUAUUUAUUUGAUUUUCUGUAUUAUCCCUAGACUUAUGUUUAUUAUCAUUACUGACUGCUGUUGUAUUAGUUUAAUUCAAUAAAACAAUUUGCAUUGAU